GAUGAACGCUGGCGGCGUGCCUAAUACAUGCAAGUCGAGCGAACAGUUGAGGAGCUUGCUCCUCUGACGCUUGCGGCGGACGGGUGAUUAAAACGUGGAUAACCUACCUAUAAGACUGGGAUAACUUCGGGAAACCGGAGCUCAUACCCGAUAAUAUCUUGUACCGCCCUGUCUAAUAGUGACACCCGGGUUUGGUGACAAGUAUAGAUGGAUCCGCACCGCAUUCGGUAGUUGGUAAGGGAUCGGCUUACCAAGGCAACGAUGCGUAGCCGACCCGAGAGGGUGAUCCGCCACCCUGGAACUGAGACACGCUCCCGACUCCUACGGGAGGCCGCAGUAGAGUAUCUUCCGCAAUGGGCGAAAGCCUGACGGAGCAACGCCGCGUGAGUGAUGAAGGGCUUCGGAUCGUAAACCUCUGUUGUUAGGGACGAACAAAUGUGUAAGUAACAAUGCACGUCUUGACGGUACCUAACCAGAAAGCCACGGCUAACUACGUG
RNAcentral lists this ribosomal RNA (497 nucleotides) under uncultured bacterium. RNAcentral describes it as "partial 16S ribosomal RNA". It matches the Rfam family "Bacterial small subunit ribosomal RNA", at positions 28 to 507 of the family's 1533-position model. The record is from RNAcentral.